CAGUCGCGUUUGCUGGGACUCAACCUUGCUUUUGCCUGGUGUACUUCUCAGUAAAUGGGCCAGCAUCAAUUUCGGGCGCCGGAAAAUGAUUGGAGGAAUGUAGCUUUGAUCUCGUAUCGAAGUGUUAUAGACUCUGGUAGACGUGACGGUUGGGAGUUGAGGAUUGCAACGGAUACCCGUUCGGGGCUACCCGUCUGAUCUCUGAAGGUUGCUCCGGU
Molecule: ribosomal RNA, 218 nt
Filed under: Rhizophagus fasciculatus
Lineage: Eukaryota; Fungi; Glomeromycota; Glomeromycetes; Glomerales; Glomeraceae
Source: RNAcentral